AGCAGGGUAAACUGGCACAACUCGCCAACGAGGCGCGACGCAUGAAGCUAGAAAUCCUGGGACUGAGUGAAGUUCGUUGGCCAAACUUUGGAGAACACAAACUACCGUCGGGACAGGUACUACUAUACUCUGGUGAAAACGCUCCCCGCCACCGUGGAGUUGGUUUCCUGCUUAGCGCCCAAGCAAAUGCGGCGCUCAUCAAGUGGGAACCUAUCAAUGAGAGGAUAAUCGUUGCCAGAUUCAGAACGCGGGUUCGUAACCUAACCAUAAUCCAA
Molecule: long non-coding RNA, 275 nt
Organism: Ochlerotatus camptorhynchus
Lineage: Eukaryota; Metazoa; Arthropoda; Insecta; Diptera; Culicidae
Exons: 2
Source: RefSeq, a predicted model, not a curated record